AUAUCAGUAAGCGGAGGAAAAGAAACUAACAAGGAUUCCCCUAGUAACUGCGAGUGAAGCGGGAAAAGCUCAAAUUUGAAAUCUGGCGGUUCUGAACCGUCCGAGUUGUAAUCUAGAGAAGUGUUACCUGUGCUGGACCAUCACAGAGGGUGAGAAUCCCGUUUGGAUGCACGACGUCUGUGUAUACGAGGCACUCUCUAAGAGUCGAGUUGUUUGGGAAUGCAGCUCAAAAUGGGUGGUAAACUUCAUCCAAGGCUAAAUAUUGGCAAGAGACCGAUAGCGCACAAGUA
Molecule: ribosomal RNA, 290 nt
Filed under: uncultured eukaryote
Lineage: Eukaryota
Description: partial large subunit ribosomal RNA
Rfam family: Eukaryotic large subunit ribosomal RNA
Source: RNAcentral